UAAUAACUCUAAUGAGUUCCAGCUCUAACCAAACCAUGUUCCUCACAUCUACGCUGGUGCUGUUACUGCUGAUUACAACACGUGUCCAGUCCCAGGUUGUCCUCACCCAGUCUGAGCAGUCACUAGUAGUUGCUCCAGGUGGAUCUCAUAAACUGACCUGUGCCUGUAGUGGGUUCAACUUGGGCAGCUAUAGGAUGCACUGGAUCCGUCAGGCUCCUGGGAAAGGACUGGAAUGGAUCAUGCACUACCACACUGACUCUAGUAAAGGCACAGCCCAGGCAGUACAGGGCAGGUUUAGUGGAUCCAAAGACAGCUCUAAUUUCUACCUUCAUAUGAGUCAACUGAAGCCAGAGGACACUGCCAUGUAUUACUGUGCUAGAGAGUCACUGUGAGAGGACUCAUACAGACAGCUGUAAAAUAACUCUAAAAUAAAAAAUAUAGUAAAACGAGAAGUAGGAAAACACUGGUCAAAAAGGCAGUGAUCCUCAUAGUAAAAUUGUAGCAUGCUACUUUUA
Non-coding RNA from Electrophorus electricus (electric eel), 515 nucleotides. The record is from the annotation of a RefSeq genome assembly. NCBI's taxonomy places the organism in Eukaryota, Metazoa, Chordata, Actinopteri, Gymnotiformes, Gymnotidae.